UCAGUUGGAGAUCUGCCUAUCCCAAACUCUGUUCAUUGGAUCUCAGUGGAUCUUGGGAUUGGAUUGCUCCCUUAGCAUACUGUUAAGCCUUUUCAUUUUAGAAGAUCUUUAGAGAUAAUCCUGUAAUGGACCAUAUCAAAAGCGGCGCUACGAAUUGCACUGGGAACCCAUCGUGUUCUGAAGCUUUUAACACGCAAAAGGACUAAGAAGGGGUUGUUGUUUUGUAGAGCUAUCCUACCC
Long non-coding RNA from Rhineura floridana, 240 nucleotides. RefSeq lists it as uncharacterized. The record is from RefSeq and is a predicted model, not a curated record. Lineage: Eukaryota; Metazoa; Chordata; Lepidosauria; Squamata; Rhineuridae. The transcript has 3 exons.